UUGCAUUCUAAUUUUGUUGGUACAAUAAUAGUCUCCUUUUAUAUGCGUACAUAUUAUAUGUCAAUUCCGUGUCUCCUCCUUUUCAUGCCACCAUCCCCUUAUUAUAUUACACAUAUCAUUUUUAUUUAUCAUAUCAUAUCAAAAAUAAAAAAAGAAAGUCCAUGGAAACGGAGCGCAACUAAGUCCCUGUUUGUUUACGCGUUCCGUUUACCUUUCCUUCACUCACACAACACUAUUCUCAUUUCCCUUUUAAACACAAACCAAACACACCCUUCCUCCCAAAACCUCUCCCAACAAGUCUCUCCUCUCCGAUCCCCCAAUCCACAGAUCCAUGAACACACCACCACCAUAACCCUCCACACCCCCCCAUAA
Molecule: non-coding RNA, 372 nt
Organism: Vicia faba (fava bean)
Lineage: Eukaryota; Viridiplantae; Streptophyta; Magnoliopsida; Fabales; Fabaceae
Source: the annotation of a GenBank genome assembly